CAGCAGUGGGGAAUAUUGCACAAUGGGCGCAAGCCUGAUGCAGCGACGCCGCGUGAGGGAUGACGGCCUUCGGGUUGUAAACCUCUUUCACCAGGGACGAAGCGUGAGUGACGGUACCUGGAGAAGAAGCACCGGCCAACUACGUGCCAGCAGCCGCGGUAAUACGUAGGGUGCGAGCGUUGUCCGGAAUUACUGGGCGUAAAGAGCUCGUAGGCGGUUUGUCGCGUCGUCUGUGAAAUUCUGCAACUCAAUWGCAGGCGUGCAGGCGAUACGGGCAGACUUGAGUACUACAGGGGAGACUGGAAUUCCUGGUGUAGCGGUGAAAUGCGCAGAUAUCAGGAGGAACACCGGUGGCGAAGGCGGGUCUCUGGGUAGUAACUGACGCUGAGGAGCGAAAGCGUGGGUAGCGAACAGGAUUAGAUACCCUGGUAGUCCACGCCGUAAACGGUGGGUACUAGGUGUGGGUUCCUUUUCACGGGAUCCGUGCCGUAGCUAACGCAUUAAGUACCCCGCCUGGGGAGUACGGCCGCAAGGCUAAAACUCAAAGGAAUUGACGGGGGCCCGCACAAGCGGCGGAGCAUGUGGAUUAAUUCGAUGCAACGCGAAGAACCUUACCUGGGUUUGACAUACACCAGA
This 636-nucleotide ribosomal RNA is filed under the name Gordonia sp. (in: high G+C Gram-positive bacteria). RNAcentral's name for it is "bacterial SSU rRNA". It matches the Rfam family "Bacterial small subunit ribosomal RNA", at positions 349 to 995 of the family's 1533-position model. Lineage: Bacteria; Bacillati; Actinomycetota; Actinomycetes; Mycobacteriales; Gordoniaceae. The record is from RNAcentral.